RNAcentral lists this ribosomal RNA (281 nucleotides) under uncultured soil bacterium. RNAcentral's name for it is "partial 16S ribosomal RNA". It matches the Rfam family "Bacterial small subunit ribosomal RNA", at positions 26 to 290 of the family's 1533-position model. The record is from RNAcentral.
AGAAUCAACGCUGGCGGCGUGCCUCAGACAUGCAAGUCGAACGCGAAAGUUUCCUUCGGGGAGCGAGUAGAGUGGCGCACGGGUGAGUAACACGUAGGUAAUCUACCUUUGGAUGGGGAAUAACAACCGGAAACGGUUGCUAAUACCGCAUGAUGCAGCGGCACCUAAUGGUGACAGUUGUUAAAGCGGGGGAUCGAAAGACCUCGCGUCUGAAGAGGAGCCUGCGGCGGAUUAGCUAGUUGGUAGGGUAACGGCCUACCAAGGCAACGAUCCGUAGCCGG